CCUCUUAUUAAAAUAACUCCAAAACCUUACAGGGUGUACAAAAAUAAUAAAUUAAAAUCCUUAAACUUCUCCUCAAUCACAACCUCAGCUCUUCCAACACCUAUCUUGCCAAAUAACACUUGUCUUGCCAAACAACUCAUCUGUAAAAUAAUAGGCGAGGGGUGAGCAACAACCACCAUCGCUCAGUGAGUAGAAUAUAUAAUAUGCCAGUCAAACUUGCCAUUUUAAUCACACUAUAAAAUAGAAUAAUAAUAUCAAAGCUUUAGCCACAUAAUUCCAUAUCACAUCAUCUCUUUAUGUGUCCAUUAUAUCCUUCAUAAAUUGUAACUCACCACGUGACCCCUACUGGCCUUUCCGCCCUAAUGUCCCCGUGUGCAAUUUACAUUUAUCCCUCGGAUUAAUGCAACAUUAAAGUUCUCAUGCUCCAUGAACAAUUCCAAAUACUCACAUAUCACUAUAUUAAUAAUUCCAAAAUCAUUUCAACAAAUCCAACAUGCUUGACUUAAAAUAUAUAGAGAUUUAUAAAUAGAUAAAACCCACAAUAGUUCGUGGUUUUCAUUUAUCAAAAAAUAAGCAUACUUUAAAACACAUUACAUAAACCACUCACCUCGAUAAUUCAAGCUUUGGCAAGACAACCCAACUAACAUCUCCGCACACCUCAAACUAGCUUUCCCCUUUUCUUUUCUUUCUAAGCUCUCACUCUAACAUAUAUAUAAGUAUAUACGCACACCACAUAUAUAUAUAUAUAUAUAUAUAUAUAUAUAUAUAUAUAUAUAUAUAUACACGUAUUGCAUGCUCUGCAUGUUUCCUUCUUUUUAUGCUCC
This 824-nucleotide long non-coding RNA is filed under the name Malus domestica (apple). RNAcentral's name for it is "long non-coding RNA (MDOM_LNC010656)". The record is from RNAcentral. Lineage: Eukaryota; Viridiplantae; Streptophyta; Magnoliopsida; Rosales; Rosaceae.